RNAcentral lists this ribosomal RNA (480 nucleotides) under Triticum aestivum (bread wheat). Its description in RNAcentral is "partial small subunit ribosomal RNA". Lineage: Eukaryota; Viridiplantae; Streptophyta; Magnoliopsida; Poales; Poaceae. The record is from RNAcentral.
AUGCUAGCCGUCGUCACCUCCACCCGCUCUCCUCUACCCCGCUUUAUCUUCCGUCUUGUUUGGCCGUUCCAUCCCCUGCUCCACGUCCACAGGUGUCGCGGAGUCUCAGUGACCGAGGCCGUCGGGUACGCGGUGAUGGCAUAUGCGCGCAUGCUGGCUAGGGCGGAGGCCCUGAUUGCCGCUGGAGUGUGCCUUGUGGACACGGCGGCCUCCGUCGCCGCUACCUCCGACAUGGUCUUCACGGUGGUCGACGAUCUCCGGAAGAUCAUGGUCGGCAACCUCGACGACGUCCGUGCCGUCGUCGGCUGUGCCAUGGCAGACCGCCCACAAGAAGGUGCCCGGAGGGAGGUGCAUGCAGAAUUGCAGACUAUGGCGGCGGUCAUGAACGCCACAAUGGUGUGUGGGCACGUGAGUUUCAUUGGGCUGUUGUUGCCAGACACCACCGGCAUCGACGAUCCUUGGAAGGCUUGCAGCAUAUGA